AACAAGGCGUACCUGCGGACCUGCGGAGGGAUCAUUACCGAGUUUUAGGGUCUGCGUUGUCCGAGUCAUCGGCGCGCGCCCGAAUCUCCCAACCCUUUGUUUAAUUGACCUACGUUGCUUCGGCGGACCGUGUCCUCCCUUCUCAUGAAAGGAGGGCCGCCGGAUGACCCCUUUUACCGGGGGACGUCUGGAGAGCCUUGUCCGCCGAUGGCCAACCACAAAAUCAAAACUCUUGUACCU
This 240-nucleotide unclassified non-coding RNA is filed under the name soil metagenome. Its description in RNAcentral is "partial contains 5.8S ribosomal RNA, internal transcribed spacer 2, and large subunit ribosomal RNA". The record is from RNAcentral.